This 3708-nucleotide ribosomal RNA is filed under the name Triticum aestivum (bread wheat). RNAcentral describes it as "partial small subunit ribosomal RNA". Lineage: Eukaryota; Viridiplantae; Streptophyta; Magnoliopsida; Poales; Poaceae. The record is from RNAcentral.
GGAGCAGUUUCGCUCAGUUGCUUUGCCGCCUGCCGCUGGGCACCUUAUCUCCUCCGUCUCGCUCUCGCGCCACUCCACGGCACCAUGCACUCGCCGGCGCGCUGCCCCGCCGCCACCACCGCGUCCUCGCCUCUGCGCGCGCCGUUCGUCGCCAUGGCCCAGCGCGGCCGCAGGCCGCCCUCGUCCGCGGCCCCCGAGGCCGAGCAGCCGGAGGAGGCGCUCGCCCGCAUCCUCCGCACCGAGGCCGCCGUCUCCGGCGUCUCCCGCAAGGCGUCCGCGGGCUCCAGCCAGCACUCCACCCGCCUCUGGCCCCGCGCCGUCCUCCAGGCCCUCGAUUCCGCCGUCGCCUCCUCCCGCUGGGAGUCCGCCCUCGAGAUCUUCGAGCUGCUGCGGAAGCAGCGGUGGUACGAGCCGAGGACGCAGAUCUACGCCAGGCUGCUGAUGAUGCUGGGCAGGUGCCGGCAGCCCGGCCCGGCCACCGCCCUCUUCAAGGUGAUGCUCUCGGAGAAGCGGCUCGCGCCGACGGUGGACGUGUACACGGCGCUCGUUGGCGCCUACGGCUACAGCGGCCUGCUGGACGAGGCGAUGGCCACGGUCGAUCGGAUGAAAGGUGCUGACGCAGACUGCAAGCCGGACGAGUACACCUUCUCUGUCCUCAUCAAUUGCUGCUGUAAGUCGCGCCGCUUCGACCUGAUCCCCACCGUCCUCGACGAGAUGUCAUAUCUGGGGGUUGGAUGCAACGUUGUCAUCCACAAUGGGAUAAUUGAUGGGUACGGCAAGGCCGGCAUGCUAGAGGAGAUGGAGGAUGCGCUGUCCAACAUGCUUCAAGAUGGGGACAAUGUGCCGGACAUAUACACGAUGAACUCCAUCAUCUGGGCCUAUGGCAACCGUGGCAGGGUGGAUGACAUGGAGAGGUGGUAUGGUGAGUUUCAGUUGAUGGGCGUUGAGCCAGAUACGCGGACUUUCAAUAUCAUGAUGAAGUCUUACGGCAAGGCUAACAUGCCUGACAAAAUGUUGUCGGUGCUGAAAUAUAUAAAGCGGCGCUUCUUCUCACCCUCUGCCGCUACGUUCAACAUAAUCAUAGAGUGUUUUGGAAGGGCUGGCAACAUUGAGAAGAUGGAGUACUAUUUCAGGCUGAUGAAAAUUAAGGGUGUCAAACCCAACCCCAUCACGUACUGCUCGCUGGUUAAUGGAUACAGCAAAUCUGGGCUCCUUGAUAGGGUUCCUGCAAUUAUUCGGCAGACGGAGAACACUGAUGUUGCCUUAGAUACUCCAUUUUUCAACUGUGUUAUCAGUGCAUACGCCAAGUCUGGCGAUAUCAAAAUAAUGGAGGAAAUGCUACAGCUAAUGAAGGAAAAGAAAUGUAAGCCUGGCAAGGUAAUUUAUAGCACCAUGAUUCAGGCAUAUAUUGCCCAUGGAAUGGAGGAAGACGCUAAGUUAUUAGAAAAAGAACUGGAAAGAGUUGACGAGAAGUUGCUGUAAGUGCUUUGCUAUAUUUUGGUGAGCUUCUUGUUGAUUUAUGCCUGCAUUAAACUGCUGAUCAUCCAUGACCGGUUAUCUUUGUUUGGGGUCAGUGAUCUGUUCUGAGAUUGAAUGCCAGUUUUUGGUGACCCAGUUGGAUGCCAAUGACAAGGUUACUAGAAGUUCACAACUUUCUAUGGAAUUUAUCUUUGGCUGUACCAAAUUAAGCUGAGCUGAAAUAGACACUAACUAUUGUUCUUUCCGUAUCCCAUCAAUGAGGAACCACUUGGAAUAGAUAAAUUAGUCGUGGCAUGUUGUGCCAUCGGAAAUGGGAGUUUCACGCAGCCUAGAUCUAAUUGCACAAGUACAAACUCAGACAGGUAGCUUGGAAUAUCUGGAAGUGCAAGGGAGUACGGUACAGCAAAGAAGGUCCGAUUCAGAGCUCCAGUCUAGUAUAUAUUCAUGUCAGAAUAUGUAAACCUAGUUUCCUCUGGGUCUAUCGGAAAAUUCACUGCCACAAAACUAAAGGGAGAAACGGAACAACACAAAAGAAAGAAACAAAGAACCAUGUGAAUUUCCUUAGAAUUUUGAACACCAAUAAGUUCAGAGCACAGAACACACAUUCUCGAAGAGAAGUUCAGUCUUCCAGUGGACACACCAGGCAGAUAAUAGAAAUCGAUGGAUACGACUAGAACUGCAUACUUCAAUCAAAAUUCUGAGCUGAACUACUCAUACUUGUGACGAUGGGGCGACCUUGUCUAAUAUGUCCAUCAUAAUCGAUGGACAGCUGGUUGUGAGGUGCUUGAAUCCAUCCGUCUUCUUGACAGCUCGAAGCACGUCCUGCAAAGACAGGUAUCCAAGGCAAGCUUUUUUAAGUUGCAAGGAGUGGUGCUGCUCUGCUAAAGCAAGUGUGGUUGCAACUGUUUGCACAUCAAAUUUCUGGCAUAGCUUCUCUUCACAAAUAGCCUUUAGCCUUUCCAGUCCAUACCGAUCUGCAGCGACUAACAAGUGCUGCAGUGCCACAUUUUGAUCAACAUCGAAAUUGCUUGGCAGAGAAUCUGUGUAUAUGAAGUAAAGAAGUGCAUCGAAGAUGGCAGGCUCCAUGUCAUCGAUCUUGAUGUUUUUUGUAGUGGUCCCCUUCAUUUGACCAAAGAGCUCGGCUUUGAAGACCGACGAUCGUGCGGCUAACACGUAUUUAUGUGCACUGAAGAGUUGGUCGCCGACACUGAAUGUCACGUCCACGCCUUCUCCACCCUUCAACAUAUUUGCAAAGUGCGUGUGCAGGUCUGACUGCGGGACCUGGACCGGGACUGUGCCAACUUGUUCCGUGUGAUGGUCUUUUAUGACAGUCAAAACACACCUGAUUGUGAAGCAGUCGUCAUUGCGGGACAGCAGUUCCUUCAGCUUGGACUUUUCAAUAAAGUUGGUCCAGCCCUGACCGAUACUCGCCGAUGAAAAGAAACACAAGAAGACCGACAUGUAGGCAGCUUUGUCUUCCUUCAUGGCCCCGUCAGGAUAGAUCCUAAUGUUCCAGUCGUAGCCGCUGACGCUGAAUUUGCUCGAGCAAAUGAACUUGCCAGAACCCAUACCCUCGAGCAACGAGUACUUAAUCACCUCAAAGUUGUGGGCGGCGGUGACACACUCGGUCAGCCAUCUCGAGGACGUCUCAGGAUGUGGCUGUAUCCUGUGACUAACAAUGAAGGGAGAUCAGGGGGCAUGCAUGUGGAAAUGAUGGAUCUGCAUCACACAAUGAAGGGAUUCGCAUCACAUAAUCAAGGGAGAUCAAAUGGUCUCAGGUUCGUGGUGAGCCGUGGCGCUGUGAAGUCGGAGGAGAUGUUGAGCAGCGGGCCGGCGAUGACUGCAAGCGACGGCUGGAAGAAGAAGAAGCCCUAGCGGCGGUAGCGAUGGACGAGUUGUUGGAGACGAAAAGGAGCGGACGCAAGAGGCGCUCUAGCUAGGUCAAUGCGCCAAUACAUCACCCUACUACUAAUUCUCGUGGUUGGUGGGGCUUGUUGUUUCGAGCUUUUCUGGGCCACCACGUUGGGCACCCAUCUUUCCUUAGCCAACCGGGUAGUAAUUAAAAUCUAUAUAUGGAAUAUAAUUGCGAGGCGUCCUGCGCCGGGUUGUGUUUCUGGCGCCUGCAUGCGAGUUUGCGGGCUCAAUCCUGUAAGCCCACUCAGUUCUGUUGGUUGGAGACCCAAUGUGACGACCCGAACUGGCGUCGCGAAAGCAAAGAAUGGUUCAGCU